RNAcentral lists this ribosomal RNA (429 nucleotides) under Acidobacteriota bacterium. Its description in RNAcentral is "Acidobacteria bacterium partial 16S ribosomal RNA". It matches the Rfam family "Bacterial small subunit ribosomal RNA", at positions 355 to 776 of the family's 1533-position model. The record is from RNAcentral. Lineage: Bacteria; Pseudomonadati; Acidobacteriota.
CGGGGAAUUUUGGACAAUGGGGGAAACCCUGAUCCAGCCAUCCCGCGUGUGCGAUGAAGGCCUUCGGGUUGUAAAGCACUUUUGGCAGGAAAGAAACGUCAUGGGUUAAUACCCCGUGAAACUGACGGUACCUGCAGAAUAAGAACCGGCUAACUACGUGCCAGCAGCCGCGGUAAUACGUAGGGUGCAAGCGUUAAUCGGAAUUACUGGGCGUAAAGCGUGCGCAGGCGGGUCGGAAAGAAAGAUGUGAAAUCCCAGAGCUCAACUUUGGAACUGCGUUUUUAACUACCGGGCUAGAGUGUGUCAGAGGGAGGUGGAAUUCCGCGUGUAGCAGUGAAAUGCGUAGAUAUGCGGAGGAACACCGAUGGCGAAGGCAGCCUCCUGGGAUAACACUGACGCUCAUGCACGGAAGCGUGGGGAGCAAACAGG